GACGAACGCUGGCGGCGUGCUUAACACAUGCAAGUCGAACGGAAAGUCCCUGCUUUGGUGGGGUGCUCGAGUGGCGAACGGGUGAGUAACACGUGAGUAACCUGCCCUUGACUUUGGGAUAACUUCAGGAAACUGGGGCUAAUACCGGAUAGGAGCUACUGCUGCAUGGUGGGGGUUGGACAGUUUCGGCGGUUGGUGAUGGACUCGCGGCUUAUCAGCUUGUUGGUGGGGUAGUGGAUUACCAAGGCUUUGACGGGUAGCCGGCCUGAGAGGGUGACCGGCCCCAUUGGGACGGAGAUACGGCCCAGACUCCAACGGGACGCAGCAGAGGGGAAUAGUGUACAAUGGGCGGAAGGCUGAUGCAGCAACGCCGCGUGCGGGAUGUCGGCCUUCGGGUUGGAAACCACUUUCGUCUGUGACGAAGCGUGAGUGACGGUAAUGGGUAAAGAAGCACCGGCUAACUACGUG
This 468-nucleotide ribosomal RNA is filed under the name uncultured bacterium. RNAcentral's name for it is "partial 16S ribosomal RNA". It matches the Rfam family "Bacterial small subunit ribosomal RNA", at positions 28 to 507 of the family's 1533-position model. The record is from RNAcentral.